UUACUAUUACAGCAGCAGCACAGGCUAUUACUAUGAUGCUGCAUCUGGGUGUUAUUGUGCUGCAUCUACAGGAACAUGGUAUUUCUUUUGCGUUUUUCUUUCAUUCACAAUAAAUUGAUGUUGUUUCUUUCUGUGUGUUCGACCACUUUUUUGUGGAUGCAACAACUUGCUUACUAGUAUGUUUUCCUUUUGGCUAGUACGUUUGUGGUAAUUACUGUAUGACCUGCUUAGAGGAAUCCAAUACCGUUGAACAAUCGUGAUGUGAAUGAAAGUUAUCAUGUUCAUGUGGGCGUUAUCCAAAUAGGGGACUAGAUCAUGGUUGGUAGGAUUGGAUCCUUGAAUGUUAGUAGUGAGUUUGCUCUUUCUUAGUGUAGUUCUGGUUAUCCUGGAACGAUCUGAGGUUCAUUGCAGUCAUUCUCGGUUAUAGAGAAAUUGCUUAUUGUUUUAUUUCAGUGAUUUCAGUGAUCUAGAACUAAAAUACAUCUAGAUACAUCCAUUCCUAUGACAAGUAUUUCCAGACGGAGGGAGUAAUACUUAUCUUAUUUACAGACGGAGGGAGUAUUGCUAGCCUGUUAUAAAUUUAUUGCACAUAACAUGUGCCCACUUAACCAUUGUAAUAAAAAAUGUACCCCAUAUAUAAUAAGGCCCUGCUUGGAAUGGGUGUAAGUUUUUACACUUGUAUUUAUUUUACAGAUGUAAAUUACCGGUCACCUCUUGUUUUCUGCCUAGAAUGAAAAUGACAGGAGGAGGUCUGUAUCCUAAACCGGCCACAAACAAGCUGAAACGCUGAUCCAAACACGGCCUAAGGGUGAAUUGUAUCCCACAUGAAAAAUAGCUUGACUUUAGGCAGGUAAUCACUGGCCGCUGCUGGUGAAGCAUCAGCCUGAGUUGUUUUUAGUUUCUAAUUUGAUGCAUGACCAUAGAACUACAGAAUGCAUCAAACAAAGCUUUUGACACAAGAAAGAUUCAGAACACAAGGGGUAAACUAGCUUUGUCGGUUUGAACAGGACACACUGGUCCGUGGAAACGGGUAUCAGAUCCAAGCUGUACUGUUACCAUAAUCUCAUGUAACCGAGUGAUGGAUAUGCUGGCUCUGAAUUUUCCAUUAUAGCACAAAGUUGCUUGUCGUCAUCCAUAUCAUAUAGCUGCAGCUUGUUGCAGGUCUCUGAAUUCUGGUAGUAUCUGUGCUGAUGUCCUAUAUCGUAUGUGCAGGUACUCGUACGACGAACAAUCAGGCACAUACACAGAAAUGCAUGGCGAACAAACUGGCAUGCACAAAGAAAUAGAGGGAGACGGGGUCAAGGAGUAGCCAAGGUGUAACAGUUCGCCCCCAAGCUAGGUGGUUUCUACUCCCCAGUGUUUUCUUGAUGCGGUGUAGCUUAAGUAUGCAGUAGAGCUGUAGAGCACCCCUGGAUCUCAACUCUCAUGGCCGAAUUAUCACGAGGAAAAGAAUUGGUUACUUAUGGUUGUAGGAUGUUAGUUGAAGUUCAUGCGAUCAUCCACGGAGCGUUUGCUCGGUCAUGAGUUGUCGUUUUUCUCUAACCAUUUGCCGACUUGGUUACGCCGCCCACCAUGUUCAUGCAGAAAGAAACCUGUAACAUGUGUUAUAAUACGUCACCCUUUGUGAAAUUGGAACUUCACUGUAACUUGUGGGAUUCAUAUAGAAGCAAGACGCUUGUUGUUCCUGAUUGAAGUUGCUUUGAAAGAAAUGGUUUUGUAGCUCUGAAUGGUGUGCACUUGGCUAUAUACCAUGAGCACUUGCUCUUCUCUUCGUUGCUCUAUAUAUGUGUGUGUUUCCCACAUGGAAAUUAUGCAUUGUUCUUUGUUAAUACAUACCCCCUUUGUAAACUGAUAUAAGAUCUUUUAGAGUAAUUAGGAGGGUUAACAGCAUUUAGAAAAAGCAUGUAGAAUUGGGGAGACACAGUAUCUGUGGUUUGUGGUCGAGCUCGUGACCAAAUCGAGCGAAGAUCAGAUGGAACAUACCGAGAAGAGUCGGUGACUCGUAAGGCCAAGCGCUGGCUGUUGUAGUCGAUCGGCUGCAGGACAAGAAUUUACCAUAAGGCCUUGUUUGGUAAAUUCUUGUCCUGCAGUUGGGGAUUAUCUUGGUCCAACCUUUAAAUUUUCACAUAUUUCA
Molecule: long non-coding RNA, 2134 nt
Filed under: Hordeum vulgare
Lineage: Eukaryota; Viridiplantae; Streptophyta; Magnoliopsida; Poales; Poaceae
Description: long non-coding RNA (HVUL_LNC013059)
Source: RNAcentral